RNAcentral lists this ribosomal RNA (395 nucleotides) under uncultured bacterium. RNAcentral's name for it is "partial 16S ribosomal RNA". It matches the Rfam family "Bacterial small subunit ribosomal RNA", at positions 523 to 918 of the family's 1533-position model. The record is from RNAcentral.
AUACGUAGGGUGCAAGCGUUAAUCGGAAUUACUGGGCGUAAAGCGUGCGCAGGCGGUUUUGUAAGACAGUGGUGAAAUCCCCGGGCUCAACCUGGGAACUGCCAUUGUGACUUCAAGGCUGGAGUGCGGCAGAGGGGGAUGGAAUUCCGCGUGUAGCAGUGAAAUGCGUAGAUAUGCGGAGGAACACCGAUGGCGAAGGCAAUCCCCUGGGCCUGCACUGACGCUCAUGCACGAAAGCGUGGGGAGCAAACAGGAUUAGAUACCCUGGUAGUCCACGCCCUAAACGAUGUCAACUGGUUGUUGGGGAUUUAUUUUCUCAGUAACGAAGCUAACGCGUGAAGUUGACCGCCUGGGGAGUACGGCCGCAAGGUUAAAACUCAAAGGAAUUGACGGGG